CAAAUGAGAGUUUGAUCCUGGCUCAGAACGAACGCUGGCGGCGUGCCUAACACAUGCAAGUCGAAC
RNAcentral lists this ribosomal RNA (66 nucleotides) under Nitrospirae bacterium GWB2_47_37. RNAcentral describes it as "partial 16S ribosomal RNA". It matches the Rfam family "Bacterial small subunit ribosomal RNA", at positions 1 to 67 of the family's 1533-position model. Lineage: Bacteria; Pseudomonadati; Nitrospirota. The record is from RNAcentral.